ACGGAAGGCAGCAGUGGGGGAUUUUGCACAAUGGGGGAAACCCUGAUGCAGCGACGCCGCGUGAGUGAAGAAGUAUUUCGAUAUGUAAAGCUCUAUCAGCAGGGAAGAAAAUGACGGUACCUGACUAAGAAGCCCCGGCUAACUAUGUGCCAGCAGCCGCGGUAGUACAUAGGGAGCAAGCGUUAUCCGGAUUUACUGGGUGUAAAGGGUGCGUAGGCGGCAUGGUAAGCCAGUCGUUAAAGACCUGAGCUUAACUCUGGACCAGCGAUUGAAACUAUCAAGCUAGAGUACAGGAGAGGUUAGUGGAAUUACUAGUGUAGAGGUGGAAUUCAUAGAUAUUAGUAAGAACACCAAUGGCGAAGGCAGCUUACUGGCCUGAAACUGACGCUGAGGCACGAAAGUGUGGGGAGCAAACAGGAUUAGAUACCCUGGUA
This 434-nucleotide ribosomal RNA is filed under the name uncultured Coprococcus sp. Its description in RNAcentral is "partial 16S ribosomal RNA". It matches the Rfam family "Bacterial small subunit ribosomal RNA", at positions 341 to 792 of the family's 1533-position model. The record is from RNAcentral. Lineage: Bacteria; Bacillati; Bacillota; Clostridia; Lachnospirales; Lachnospiraceae.